UGAGGAAUAUUGCGCAAUGGGGGAAACCCUGACGCAGCAACGCCGCGUGGGUGAAGAAGGCCUUCGGGUCGUAAAGCCCUUUCGGACGGGACGAACGCUCCGCGGUGACAGCCCGCGGAGCCUGACGGUACCGUAAGAAGAAGCACCGGCUAACUCCGUGCCAGCAGCCGCGGUAAUACGGAGGGUGCAAGCGUUGUUCGGAAUUACUGGGCGUAAAGCGCGUGUAGGCGGCCUUGCAAGCCAGACGUGAAAGCCCCCGGCUUAACCGGGGAAGUGCGUCUGGAACUGCUCAGCUCGAGUACGGGAGAGGGAGGCGGAAUUCCCAGUGUAGAGGUGAAAUUCGUAGAUAUUGGGAGGAACACCGGUGGCGAAAGCGGCCUCCUGGACCGAUACUGACGCUGAGACGCGAAAGCGUGGGGAGCAAACAGGAUUAGAUACCCUGGUAGUCCACGCUGUAAACGAUGGGCACUAGGUGUGGGAGGUAUCGACCCCUUCCGUGCCGCAGCUAACGCAUUAAGUGCCCCGCCUGGGGAGUACGGCCGCAAGGUUG
This 550-nucleotide ribosomal RNA is filed under the name uncultured bacterium. Its description in RNAcentral is "bacterial SSU rRNA". It matches the Rfam family "Bacterial small subunit ribosomal RNA", at positions 355 to 896 of the family's 1533-position model. The record is from RNAcentral.